RNAcentral lists this ribosomal RNA (253 nucleotides) under uncultured bacterium. RNAcentral describes it as "partial 16S ribosomal RNA". It matches the Rfam family "Bacterial small subunit ribosomal RNA", at positions 524 to 776 of the family's 1533-position model. The record is from RNAcentral.
GACGGAGGAUGCAAGCGUUAUCCGGAAUUAUUGGGCGUAAAGCGUCCGCAGGUGGCGAUUCAAGUCUGCUGUCAAAGGUCGGGGCUUAACCCCGGGAAGGCAGUGGAAACUGAAUAGCUAGAGUGCGGUAGGGGCAGAGUGAAUUCCCGGUGUAGCGGUGAAAUGCGUAGAGAUCGGGAAGAACACCAGUGGCGAAAGCGCUCUGCUGGGCCGGCACUGACACUGAGGGACGAAAGCUAGGGGAGCGAAAGGG